This 308-nucleotide unclassified non-coding RNA is filed under the name Hevea brasiliensis (rubber tree). The record is from RNAcentral. Lineage: Eukaryota; Viridiplantae; Streptophyta; Magnoliopsida; Malpighiales; Euphorbiaceae.
GUUCUUUGCAUUGUCGGCGGUCGGCUAUCGCGGCGCCAUUCUCAAUGUGACCGGGGUCAGCUUCGUCACCGCCGCAAGCGUGACGCUGGUGGCGACGCUGCUGAUGCAGACCAUUGUCCUGUCAGGUUGGCUGAUCGUGCGUGCGCCGGGAACCAUGACGGCGAUCUUCCGGCUCUGGAAGCCGUCGAUGUUCGCUGGCUUCAUGGGCUCGUUCGCAUCGCUGUUCUGGUUUCUCGCCUUCGCGCUGACCGCCGCGGCGAAUGUGCGGACGCUGGCGCUGGUCGAGGUGCUGUUCGCGCAAGUUGCGG